AAAUUUAGUUUUCCUGGCAGACCCUGGCAAAGGGACAUCUUCCCAAGGCUGACGUGUGUGCUGGUCAUGCUGUGGUGGGUUUCCAACUCACCUCUCUCGGUAGAGGCUCCUGCAGCCUGGCAGGCUCAGGCCUCUGACAACUUAGUG
Molecule: non-coding RNA, 147 nt
Organism: Heterocephalus glaber (naked mole-rat)
Lineage: Eukaryota; Metazoa; Chordata; Mammalia; Rodentia; Bathyergidae
Source: Rfam